CGAACACUCUCAGGUGUGAACGACCCGGAGAGGUGGAAACGUCUGACGCGGACCUGUGAACAAGAACUGAAGCAGCUUCGACCACGAGUUCUGUUCAGCGGACAGUUUCUUCCUCGUCCUCCGACAGGACGCAGGUGUGCCUCGGCUCGGUUCCGUGUCUCGGACUCCUCAGCAUCUUCUCAUCUGUUGCUGUGAUGAAGACUUUAAUGAGGCCAUCAUGUUCUGAUCGCUCCGGAUGAUCGAUCCGCAGCAACGUCACAGUUUAUGGAUCCGCUCCGAAGUUUGCGGGUCGACGUGUCUCGGGUAGCAGCAUCACCGGCCGAACACGUCGCCUCCCCGGCAGGUUCGGAGUUGAGAGGGAUCACAUUAAGAUUGAUGUGUCGGCUCGGCUCGGCUCGGCUCGGCGCUCUCCACUGGUUCCGACUGAGAGUAAACAGGAUUAUCUAACGGUGCCCUCCUGAAACCUGCUGCUGUGUUCUCAUCUGUGUUUGACAGCCGGACCCUCCUCCUCCUCCUCCUCCUCCUCCUCCUCCUCUUUUCACCCUCCUCCUCCUCCAGCUCGCUCUUCUGCACUGUAAAAAACACGACAUUAAAGCAACUGGACUCAGAAUGAGGUGGGAAAACUACUCAGAUCUGCUAUUUAGCCCAACUAAAUGUAGCAUGUAGCAUGUAGCAUCACCACUGUGAAUGCUAACAUGUCUAAUGCUAAGUAAAAAUCAUUCAAAAUGGUUGAAUAAUAAACUUUAUGAACACGCUCUGAUAAUAUUUAGCUUUAUUAGAGUUUUAUAUUAGCCUUCAGUAGCAUUCAGUAACCACUGUUGAUUAGUUUAAUUUCUUACAACAUUUCUUACAAGUGUUUUGGGCCAAAUGCUAACAUGAGCACCAAGCAUGUUAUUUCAGCAUGCUAACAUCCCCACAAUGAAAAUGCUAACAUUUUGUCAUUCAGCCCAUGUAGCCAAAGCUGCAUUUUAGCCAUUGUUGAGUAGUUUAAUCUCUUACAAGAUAGCUACAACCGAGCUAGCUGUCUGUUGGGCCAAAUGCUAACAUGAGCGCCAACGAUGUUAUUUCAGCAUGCUAACAUGCUGUUAUUUAUAAGUUAUAACAAAGUAUAAUGUUUACAUACCCACAUGAACAAUGCUAACAUGCUGUUAUUUAGUGCAUGUAGCCUUUAGUAACAUGUAGCCAAAGCUGUAUUUUAACCACUGUUGAUUAUUUUAAUCUCUUACAAGAUAGCUACCACUGAGCUAGCAGUGUGUUGGGCUAAAUGCUAACAUUAGCACCAAAGUUAUAAUUUCAGCAGCUAACAUCCCCACAAAGAACAUGCUAACAUGCUGAUGUUUAAUGUUCACAACUGUUGCUCUCCUAGUUUAGCAUGCUAGCAUAUACACCCACCAUGGAGGUACCAACACAGCUUUGUGUUCAGCAGGUACAGUAUGUUACCCAUGUUACCUUCUUAGUUUAGCAUAUUAGCAUGCUAAAAAUUACACAAUGAAAAUGCUAACAUGCUUCAUUUAGCAAUGAGAUAUUAGUGUCGUGAAAUAGAUUUAUAAAAUAGCAUACUGGGUACCACAAAAUCAUACUUGAAUAUGGUAUUUUAGUGAAAGUACUGUGGUUACAGAGUGUGUGAGGUAAAAAAUUAAAGUGUAUUGUGAUGCUAAUAUUUUUUAUACUUUUACUGCAAUGUGAAUAACAAGCAGCCGUACACUAACAGUUACUUUGACAUUUUUCAUUUUUCAGAAUAUAUGUAUUUAAUAAACAAAAAUGACAAAUCUCCAGCAAACAUAAUAAACCUGCUGUGCCACAAACACUUCAUGUUUUUACAGUGCAGAGCUGCUCGUCUUCACUCGAUGACUCUUCAGUACAAACUGGACUCCAGUGAAAAGCUUUUGUAUAAAUGCAGCUAAAUCCUGAUUGACAAAGUUUGUACCGGCUGACAUCUAAACACAGAGAGGAUUAAUAAAAACGGACAGAAGAUAAAACACAGAUCCACAGUGUGUCGCGCACGCACGCACGCACACACACACACACACAGACACACACACUGUUAUGUCAUUCAUGAUUUGCAUUGCCGUUUUACAAGAGGCAGGUGGUUCUGUCGGUCCAGAUCUAAUAACAGAUACAUCAGUGACGGUGACAUCUUCGCUCUUGUCACGUGAACUCUGUAAAAUAAAUGUUUGGUUUGUGAAACAAC
Long non-coding RNA from Acanthopagrus latus (yellowfin seabream), 2191 nucleotides. RefSeq lists it as uncharacterized. The record is from RefSeq and is a predicted model, not a curated record. The transcript is spliced from 2 exons. NCBI's taxonomy places the organism in Eukaryota, Metazoa, Chordata, Actinopteri, Spariformes, Sparidae.